RNAcentral lists this unclassified non-coding RNA (314 nucleotides) under Hevea brasiliensis (rubber tree). The record is from RNAcentral. Lineage: Eukaryota; Viridiplantae; Streptophyta; Magnoliopsida; Malpighiales; Euphorbiaceae.
GGCUUGCGUGGAAUGCCACGUUUGCGCUUGAUACCCUUUACUACGGGGAGUAUAUGAAUUAUGGAGCUGGAAGUGGCCUGGGGAUGAGGGUGACGUGGCCAGGGUACAAGGUUAUUACAUCGCCCGCAGAGGCGAGUACGUUUACAGUGGGGGAGUUUAUCGCAGGUUCCAUGUGGCUGCCAUCUACGGGAGUAGCCUUUUUAGCUGGCUUAUCUGCAUAAAGUAAUGCUAUGUGCAUAGGCUUGUAUAUAUAUGGUUUCGUUCACAAGUUGGUACACUUGAGCCGAUGUUUGUUGUUGUGUUGUCAUGUGUCG